RNAcentral lists this ribosomal RNA (465 nucleotides) under uncultured bacterium. RNAcentral's name for it is "partial 16S ribosomal RNA". It matches the Rfam family "Bacterial small subunit ribosomal RNA", at positions 339 to 795 of the family's 1533-position model. The record is from RNAcentral.
CUACGGGUUGCACCAGUGAGGAAUUUUGCGCAAUGGGGGGAACCCUGACGCAGCAACGCCGUGUGAGUGAAGAAGGCCUUUGGGUCGUAAAGCUCUGUCAACUGGGAAGAAGUUACUAUGCUUAAAUAGAGUGUAGUAUUGACGGUACCAGUGGAGGAAGCGUCGGCUAACUCCGUGCCAGCAGCCGCGGUAACACGGGGGACGCAAGCGUCAUUCGGAAUUAUUGGGCGUAAAGGGCGCGUAGGCGGUCUUGUCGGUCAGGUGUGAAAGCCCGGGGCUCAACCACGGACGUGCACUUGAAACAGCAAGACUUGAGUACGGGAGAGGAAAGCGGAAUUCCUGGUGUAGAGGUGAAAUGCGUAGAUAUCAGGAGGAACACCGAUGGCGAAGGCAGCUUUCUGGACCGAAACUGACGCUGAGGCGCGAAGGCGUGGGUAGCGAACAGGAUUAGAUACCCCCGUAGUC